GAGCGAACGCUGGCGGCAGGCUUAACACAUGCAAGUCGAACGGGCGUAGCAAGUACGUCAGUGGCAGACGGGUGAGUAACGCGUGGGAACGUACCUUUUGGUUCGGAACAACCCAGGGAAACUUGGGCUAAUACCGGGGUAAAGCCCUUACGGGGAAAGAUUUAUCGCCGAAAGAUCGGCCCGCGUCUGAUUAGCUAGUUGGUGAGGUAACGGCUCACCAAGGCGACGAUCAGUAGCUGGUCUGAGAGGAUGAUCAG
This 257-nucleotide ribosomal RNA is filed under the name uncultured bacterium. Its description in RNAcentral is "partial 16S ribosomal RNA". It matches the Rfam family "Bacterial small subunit ribosomal RNA", at positions 27 to 307 of the family's 1533-position model. The record is from RNAcentral.